GUACCCUCAAGCUCUGCUUGGUGUUGGGUGUUUGUCCUCUCCUUGCGGUUGGACUCGCCUUAAAGCAAUUGGCAGCCAGUGUAUUGGUUUUAAGCGCAGCACAUUUUGCGUCUUGCUCCCACUAACACUGGCAUCCAUCAAGCCAUUUUAUCAC
RNAcentral lists this unclassified non-coding RNA (154 nucleotides) under uncultured Ophiosphaerella. Its description in RNAcentral is "sequence contains ITS2". Lineage: Eukaryota; Fungi; Ascomycota; Dothideomycetes; Pleosporales; Phaeosphaeriaceae. The record is from RNAcentral.